GGAUUUUCUUAGUAGCGGCGAGCGAAAAGAAAAUAGUUCAGCACUAAGUCACUUUGUCUAUAUGGCAAAUGUGAGAUGCAGUGUAUGGAAUAUCUUAAAUCUAGUAUGAGAAAUUAACGAUUUAAGUCCUUCUUAAAUGAGGCCAUUUACCCAUAGAGGGUGCCAGGCCCGUAUAACGUUAAUGAUUACUAGAAGAUGUUUCCAAAGAGUCGUGUUGCUUGAUAGUGCAGCACUAAGUGGGUGGUAAACUCCAUCUAAAACUAAAUAUAACCAUGAGACCGAUAGUAAACAAGUACCGUGAGGGAAAGUUGAAAAGAACUCUGAAUAGAGAGUUAAAUAGUACGUGAAACUGCUUAGAGGUUAAGCCCGAUGAACCUGAAUAUCCAUUAUAGAAAAUUCAUCAUUAUAACUUGUAAUAUGUUACAAUAUUAUAUAGUGAUAGUGUGCAUUUUUUCUAUAUAAGGACAUUGUAAUCUAUUAAUAUCAUUUUAUUUAUCAAAAGAUCAUUUGCUUAUGUUUAUUCAAAUUGGAUUGCUUGCAAUUUAACAUAGAAUAAAUGCUUAUGAUUUGAUAAAGUAUUGAUAGUUUUAUUAUAUAUAGUGCUUAAAAUUAUUAAUUUUUACGAUAACAUAUUUAUUUAAAAUAUUUAUGUUCAUUGUAUGCACUUAUAUGAUUAACAAUGCGAAAGAUUCAGGAUACCUUCGGGACCCGUCUUGAAACACGGACCAAGGAGUCUAACAUAUGUGCAAGUUAUUGGGUUAUAAAAAACCUAAUAGCGUAAUUAACUUAACUUGUUAUAAUGGGAUUAAUUUUUAUUCUAUUUAAUAGUUUAUUAAUUCAAUCCCGGGGCGUUCUAUAUAGUUAUGUAUAAUAAUAUUUAUAUUAUUUAUACCUCUAACUGGAGCGUACCUUGAGCAUAUAUGCUGUGACCCGAAAGAUGGUGAACUAUACUUGAUCAGGUUGAAGUCAGGGGAAACCCUGAUGGAAGACCGAAACAGUUCUGACGUGCAAAUCGAUUGUCAGAAUUGAGUAUAGGGGCGAAAG
This 1044-nucleotide ribosomal RNA is filed under the name Strongylophthalmyia angustipennis. RNAcentral describes it as "eukaryotic LSU rRNA". It matches the Rfam family "Eukaryotic large subunit ribosomal RNA", at positions 72 to 929 of the family's 3401-position model. Lineage: Eukaryota; Metazoa; Arthropoda; Insecta; Diptera; Strongylophthalmyiidae. The record is from RNAcentral.